Molecule: ribosomal RNA, 460 nt
Filed under: uncultured bacterium
Lineage: Bacteria
Description: partial 16S ribosomal RNA
Rfam family: Bacterial small subunit ribosomal RNA
Source: RNAcentral
CCUACGGGAGGCAGCAUUGAGGAAUAUUGGUCAAUGGGCGUAAGCCUGAACCAGCCAAGUCGCGUGAGGGAUGAAGGUUCUAUGGAUUGUAAACCUCUUUUAUAAGGGAAUAAAGUGAGGGACGUGUCCCGGUCUGUAUGUACCUUAUGAAUAAGGAUCGGCUAACUCCGUGCCAGCAGCCGCGGUAAUACGGAGGAUCCGAGCGUUAUCCGGAUUUAUUGGGUUUAAAGGGUGCGUAGGCGGCCUUUUAAGUCAGCGGUGAAAGUCUGUGGCUCAACCCUAGAAUUGCCGUUGAAACUGGGGGGCUUGAGUAUGUUAGAGGCAGGCGGAAUGCGUGGUGUAGCGGUGAAAUGCUUAGAUAUCACGCAGAACCCCGAUUGCGAAGGCAGCCUGCCGGGCCAUAACUGACGCUGAUGCACGAAAGCGUGGGGAUCAAACAGGAUUAGAUACCCGAGUAGUC